Molecule: ribosomal RNA, 253 nt
Filed under: uncultured bacterium
Lineage: Bacteria
Description: partial 16S ribosomal RNA
Rfam family: Bacterial small subunit ribosomal RNA
Source: RNAcentral
UACAGAGGGGGCAAGCGUUGUUCGGAUUCAUUGGGCGUAAAGGGUGUGUAGGUGGCGCGCUAAGUCGGGUGUGAAAUUUCGGAGCUUAACUCCGAAACUGCAUUCGAUACUGGCGUGCUUGAGGACUGGAGAGGAGACUGGAAUUCAUGGUGUAGCAGUGAAAUGCGUAGAGAUCGUAAGGAAGACCAGUGGCGAAGGCGGGUCUCUGGACAGUUCCUGACACUGAGGCACGAAGGCCAGGGGAGCAAACGGG